RNAcentral lists this ribosomal RNA (795 nucleotides) under bacterium enrichment culture. RNAcentral's name for it is "bacterial SSU rRNA". It matches the Rfam family "Bacterial small subunit ribosomal RNA", at positions 8 to 784 of the family's 1533-position model. The record is from RNAcentral.
AGAGUUUGAUCCUGGCUCAGGACGAACGCUGGCGGCGUGCCUAAUACAUGCAAGUCGAGCGAACCAAUAAGAAGCUUGCUUUUUGUUGGUUAGCGGCGGACGGGUGAGUAACACGUGGGUAACCUGCCUGUAAGACCGGGAUAACUCCGGGAAACCGGUGCUAAUACCGGAUAGAUUAUCUUUCCGCCUGGAGAGAUAAGGAAAGAUGGCUAUUGCCAUCACUUACAGAUGGGCCCGCGGCGCAUUAGCUAGUUGGUGAGGUAACGGCUCACCAAGGCGACGAUGCGUAGCCGACCUGAGAGGGUGAUCGGCCACACUGGGACUGAGACACGGCCCAGACUCCUACGGGAGGCAGCAGUAGGGAAUCUUCCGCAAUGGACGAAAGUCUGACGGAGCAACGCCGCGUGAGCGAAGAAGGUCUUCGGAUCGUAAAGCUCUGUUGUUAGGGAAGAACAAGUAUCGGAGGAAAUGCCGGUACCUUGACGGUACCUGACGAGAAAGCCACGGCUAACUACGUGCCAGCAGCCGCGGUAAUACGUAGGUGGCAAGCGUUGUCCGGAAUUAUUGGGCGUAAAGCGCGCGCAGGCGGUCCUUUAAGUCUGAUGUGAAAUCUUGCGGCUCAACCGCAAGCGGUCAUUGGAAACUGGGGGACUUGAGUGCAGAAGAGGAAAGCGGAAUUCCACGUGUAGCGGUGAAAUGCGUAGAGAUGUGGAGGAACACCAGUGGCGAAGGCGGCUUUCUGGUCUGUAACUGACGCUGAGGCGCGAAAGCGUGGGGAGCAAACAGGAUUAGAUA